This 1397-nucleotide ribosomal RNA is filed under the name uncultured bacterium. RNAcentral describes it as "bacterial SSU rRNA". It matches the Rfam family "Bacterial small subunit ribosomal RNA". The record is from RNAcentral.
GAAUUCGCCCUUAGAGUUUGAUCCUGGCUCAGGACGAACGCUGGCGGCGUGCUUAACACAUGCAAGUCGAACGAGAAUCUGUGGAUCGAGGAUUCGUCCAAGUGAAGCAGAGGACAGUGGCGGACGGGUGAGUAACGCGUGAGGAACCUGCCUUUCAGAGGGGGACAACAGUUGGAAACGACUGCUAAUACCGCAUGAUACAUUUGGGUGGCAUCAUCUGAAUGUCAAAGAUUUAUCGCUGAAAGAUGGCCUCGCGUCUGAUUAGCUAGUUGGUGAGGUAACGGCCCACCAAGGCGACGAUCAGUAGCCGGACUGAGAGGUUGACCGGCCACAUUGGGACUGAGAUACGGCCCAGACUCCUACGGGAGGCAGCAGUGGGGAAUAUUGGGCAAUGGGCGCAAGCCUGACCCAGCAACGCCGCGUGAAGGAAGAAGGCUUUCGGGUUGUAAACUUCUUUUAAGAGGGAAGAGCAGAAGACUGUACCUCUAGAAUAAGCCACGGCUAACUACGUGCCAGCAGCCGCGGUAAUACGUAGGUGGCAAGCGUUGUCCGGAUUUACUGGGUGUAAAGGGCGUGCAGCCGGGAAUGCAAGUCAGAUGUGAAAUCCAUGGGCUUAACCCAUGAACUGCAUUUGAAACUGUAUUUCUUGAGUACUGGAGAGGCAAUCGGAAUUCCUAGUGUAGCGGUGAAAUGCGUAGAUAUUAGGAGGAACACCAGUGGCGAAGGCGGAUUGCUGGACAGCAACUGACGGUGAGGCGCGAAAGUGUGGGGAGCAAACAGGAUUAGAUACCCUGGUAGUCCACACUGUAAACGAUGAAUACUAGGUGUGCGGGGACUGACCCCUUCAGUGCCGCAGUUAACACAAUAAGUAAUCCACCUGGGGAGUACGACCGCAAGGUUGAAACUCAAAGGAAUUGACGGGGGCCCGCACAAGCAGUGGAGUAUGUGGUUUAAUUCGAAGCAACGCGAAGAACCUUACCAGGUCUUGACAUCCGAUGCAUAUCACAGAGAUGUGUGAAGUCCUUCGGGACAUCGAGACAGGUGGUGCAUGGUUGUCGUCAGCUCGUGUCGUGAGAUGUUGGGUUAAGUCCCGCAACGAGCGCAACCCUUAUUGCCAGUUACUACGAAAGAGGACUCUGGCGAGACUGCCGUUGACAAAACGGAGGAAGGUGGGGAUGACGUCAAAUCAUCAUGCCCUUUAUGACCUGGGCUACACACGUACUACAAUGGCGUUUAACAAAGAGAAGCAAGACCGCGAGGUGGAGCAAAACUCAAAAACAACGUCUCAGUUCAGAUUGCAGGCUGCAACUCGCCUGCAUGAAGUCGGAAUUGCUAGUAAUCGCGGAUCAGCAUGCCGCGGUGAAUACGAUGCCGGGCCUUGCACACACCGCCGGUCA